This 219-nucleotide unclassified non-coding RNA is filed under the name Hevea brasiliensis (rubber tree). The record is from RNAcentral. Lineage: Eukaryota; Viridiplantae; Streptophyta; Magnoliopsida; Malpighiales; Euphorbiaceae.
UUCCUAAUUAAAUUUUCUAAAUAACAAAAUUCUCAAUUUAUUGAUUUUAAGAAAAAAAAUUAAUGCAAAAUAAUUUCUAAAUUUAGUUUUCCUUGACAACAUCACUGAUCAAGGCGAACAAAAGCAAACUUGAGACAGAAUGUCACUUUUAUGAUGGUGGAAAUAUAUUGCAUAAGCAGAGUAAGAUCGUCAUCACCUGUUCCCUUGCAAAAUACUCAG